Pseudoneurospora amorphoporcata is the source of this 86-nucleotide non-coding RNA. The record is from the annotation of a GenBank genome assembly. NCBI's taxonomy places the organism in Eukaryota, Fungi, Ascomycota, Sordariomycetes, Sordariales, Sordariaceae.
GGUUGUAUAGUGUAGCGGUUAUCACUCCGGAUUCUGAAUCGCCUCAGAACAUUCCGGCAACCCCGGUUCGAUUCCGGGUACGACCU